ACUUAUGUUCUGCUGCUGACUUGUUGUCUUGUGUGGAGCAGCUGAGUUCCUAUCUCCACCCUCAGUAAGAUGGGAAAACUCUACCUUCUGCUGCUCUCUCUCUGUCUGCCAUGUUUAAAUGGCCAGAGUCUGGAGUCCAUUCCCUCCAGUCCAGUCCUGAAAAAGCCUGGAGAAACUCUCAGUCUCUCCUGUAAGAUAUCUGGAUACACUGUUGACAGCCACUACACACACUGGAUACGACAGCCAGCAGGAAAAUCUCUGGAAUGGAUGGGUUAUUCUGGAUUAGGUCUAGGUAACCAUGCUAAAACUUUUGAAGGACGCAUGGAAACGACUAAGGAUAAUUCCAACAGCAUGUUGACUUUGAAGCUGUCUGUUCUGAGAGCAGAGGACUCUGCUGUGUAUUACUGUGCAAGAGAGGAUAUGGGCUGGGGGGCUUUUGACUACUGGGGUAAAGGGACACAAGUCACCGUCUCAACAGCAACCACAGCCCCCUCUUCCCUAUUCCCUCUUACGAACUGUGGAACCCCUACUAACGACAUCUACAGCAUUGGUUGUGUCGCUACCGGCUUUUCGCCUUCCUCAAUCUCCUUCAAAUGGACAGACGCCGGCAAGAGUCCGCUGACAGACUUUGUCCAGUACCCGUCGGUUCAGAGCGGGGAGCCUACAUCGGAGUCAGUCAGCUCCGCUUGUCUAAGAACGUCUGGGAAAACUCAAAGUCUUUCAUUUGUUCUGUGGAACAUCUUGGAAGUGAACAGACAGCAGUCAUCAAUAAACCAGUCUCAAAGUCUCCAUCAGUGUCUUUGCUUUCGGGGCCCAUUGGCACCACCCAGUACCUGAUGUGUAUGAUUGAAGAUUUCACCCCCAAUAAAGUCACUGUCACCUGGAAGAAGAAUGACAAGGAGGUGGAGGGCCAGACUCCUACUGUAGGCCUACAGCCAUCAGGCCUCUACUCAGCCAGCAGUCUGCUGAAGGUCAACAACACUGACUGGAACAACAAGGUCAAGUACAGCUGUGUGGUGCAGCACCAGGGACAAACCACCAUCAAGACAAUCUCCAAAACAGAACCACUGACGGUGACUCUGAACCCACCGAGUGUGAAAAAGGUGUUCAUGGACAACCAAGCAGUGCUGGACUGUGUCAUCACUGCUACAGACCAGAACACAGUGGCUGGUACCACUAUCACCUGGCAGGUCAACGGAAAGGACGAGACGGAAAGAAUCGUUGAAUCAAAGGGCAACCUGAACAGCAGGGUCAGUACACUGACCAUAGACCAGACAGAGUGGACCAAUGUGAACAAUGUCCAGUGUUCUGCCAUGAAGAGAGGUGAAGACACACCGGUCAUUCAGGACAUCAGCUUCACCAAAGGAAGUCGAGCCCCUUCAGUGUCCGUUCACCUUCUCCCGGAGGAAGACACCAAGAAGCAGGGGGAUGUGACUCUGGUGUGCCUGGUGGUCAGCCCGUCUCUCUGUGACAUCUACAUCAUGUGGAAGGAGGACAGUGGCGAGUACCAGGAUGGGGUCACCAGCCCUCCUCAGAAAACCCCGGAAGGCAACUACUCUGUCACCAGUGUCUUCACCGUCAAAAAAAAUAAGUGGGAGGGAAACUCGGUUUUUGCAUGUGCCGUCAAGCACCGCUUGGACAACAACACAGCACCUCAGGAGAGGAGUGUGUCAAAGUCCAUGGGGAACAUCCUACUGACUGAGCCUGAGGCGGGCUUCGCUCUGAGCUGCACGGACAACGUUGAGGAUGAGUUCGGCAGCUUGUGGUCCACCACCUCCUCCUUUAUCAUCCUCUUUCUUCUCUCUCUCACCUACAGCACAGUACUCAGCCUGGUCAAGAUGAAGCAGUGAAGAACACAUGAUGGACUGCAGAGAUAGAUGUGUCUAGAUUAGAAAGAUGGUUAUGGCACAGUGUUCUUCACUAAUAAUGUUAUGUAUAUAUCCAAUACAUUAUGGUGAUGUGUUAUAUUUCCUUCAUUGAUUUCUAUUGUACACUAUCUUUAAAUCUAAGUGUAUCCUCUGAUGUCUCUGUGAUCUAUUUCACUUGAAUAAAGUCUAAGAUUUAGCUA
RNA transcript from Oncorhynchus gorbuscha (pink salmon), 2068 nucleotides. It is a transcript of the gene named Ig mu chain C region membrane-bound form-like, with no coding region annotated. NCBI's taxonomy places the organism in Eukaryota, Metazoa, Chordata, Actinopteri, Salmoniformes, Salmonidae. The transcript has 10 exons. The record is from RefSeq and is a predicted model, not a curated record.